Small nuclear RNA from Tupaia belangeri (northern tree shrew), 105 nucleotides. The record is from Ensembl. NCBI's taxonomy places the organism in Eukaryota, Metazoa, Chordata, Mammalia, Scandentia, Tupaiidae.
GUGCUCUUUUCUGCAGCACAUAUACUAAAAUUAGAAUGACACAGAGGAUUAGCAUGACCCCUACAUGAUGAUAACACACUUAUUCAUAAAGUGUUUCACAUUUGU